Molecule: ribosomal RNA, 473 nt
Filed under: uncultured bacterium
Lineage: Bacteria
Description: bacterial SSU rRNA
Rfam family: Bacterial small subunit ribosomal RNA
Source: RNAcentral
GGACGAACGCUGGCGGCAUGCCUAACACAUGCAAGUCGAACGGGGGUAGCAAUACCCUAGUGGCGAACGGGUGAGUAACACAUAAGCAAUCUGCCCUUCGACAGGGGGAUAACAGCGGGAAACUGCUGCUAAUACCGCAUAAGACCACGGUACCGCAUGGUACAGGGGUAAAAACGAAUCAGUGGUGAAGGAUGAGCUUAUGUCCCAUUAGCUAGUUGGUGAGAUAACAGCCCCACCAAGGCGACGAUGGGUAGCCGACCUGAGAGGGUGAUCGGCCACACUGGAACUGAGACACGGUCCAGACUCCUACGGGAGGCAGCAGUGGGGAAUAUUGGGCAAUGGAGGAAACUUCCUUACCCAGCAAUGCCGCGUGAGUGAAGAAGGUCUUCGGAUUGUAAAGCUCUUUGAUUGGGGACGAAGAAAGUGACGGUACCCAAAGAACAAGCCCCGGCUAACUACGUGCCAGCAGCUGC